CGGCCGGGACCCGACGGAAAUUGCCGAAGGUGCCGGAGCGCACGGGGCAGCGCGCGGCAACGGCGGCGGCGGAAAGAGCCGAGCGCGCCGGCGCCCAGCAGCGGGGGGCGAGCGGCGGGGCGCGGGGACGAGGGGGAGUGGGCGCCUGCACCGCGGCCUCCUCCGCGCCGCCGCACGCCUGGCUCCCUCCGCCUGCAGCUCCGUGAGGGGAGCUGGGUCGCUGCAGCCGCAAAGCUCUGCGCCCCGGCUCCUGCAGCCGGGCUCUGUGGGUGGGGCUCCUCUAUAUGCCCCACCGGCUGCCCAGCCGUGCGUCUGGGCUGCAGUCCUGCCCCCAUGCAGCCUCCAGUUUGCCCGCCAAUCCCCAGUCCCAGAUUGGCUACAGCUGAGGGAGCAACGGUGUGUAGCUUUCCUCCCCGGCCUCCAACGUUUCAACAACAAUGUUUACCACACUGAACGACGAGGCUGCCGUUUGGUAAAAACAUCACUUUCCAAAGGAAAAACAAACAAAACACACAGAAAACAAAAAAUCCCUAAGUCCGGAAACAGGGACGUUUGCUUCCAAACCUAUGGUACCAUCUCAGGUGGAAGAAAAUGAGUCUCACUUGGGUUGAAUCGGGCGCACAAGAUCUCAGAACCACAUAUCCUUGAUCAUCACAUCGGCAAAACUCAUGGAAUGCUCCAAAAGAGAAGAUCAGUGUUUAUUUAGCAUUGGUCAGAAGACUUGGCUCCUUGCAUGAAGCUCUAGAACUGAACACUUGCAGUUGAAUGAAUGGAUGUGGCAAUCUGCAGACCGGUAAGCAAAACAGUGAGAAGAAAAAUAAUGAAAAUUUAUUGUUGAGUGCCACAGAUAUUUUGGCCGUGGUGAAGUAAGUGAAGUGUUUAUUUAAAUGCACUUUAUGUUUUAUUGGAUCCUAUGUGUAGUUGAAAUUCCUUGCCCUUCAUUUGAAGUAAGGAAUGGCUAUAAUGUGCCUUAAGAAUUAAUUUAGGGAUGAGCAUUUUGUCUAUUGGUUAAAACUCUGCCUAGACAGCUGCAUCCUGUAUCAGAGGGAUUGAGCCCAGGCCUGGCACCUGGUUGCAACUUCCUGUUGCUAAAGAGCCUGGAAAGCAGCAGUGAUGAUUUCAGGGUAUGGUCCCUGCAAUCCAUGUGGGAGACCUGGAUUGAGUCCACAGCUCCUGGCUGUGGCUUGGCUCAGUCUCUGGUGGGCAUUUGGUGAACAAGCCAGGGGAUGGGUACUCCCUUUGUCUCUGUGUAGGUCUUCAUUUUCUCAUUUGUGGUCGCAUGUGCACAUGUUCAAAGGAACAGACAUUCAAGCAGGCCUGCAGAGAAAUGCUUUAUUCAAAGACCAGAGGGCUCGUUCAGUCUCUGGAAUGAGUGUAAAGGCAAAGCACUGGGGCUAGCUGUUUAUCAUCAGGCUCACGUAACAGCUAUUCCUGUGUACGUUCAGGGAGAGGUAGACACGGGUUUGAUACAUAAUUAGUUAUUUUUUAUCACAUUCUCAUAACAAGAUACAUAUCUUUAAUGUCCACCUAGGGUUCCACAUUUCUCUGAAAACCUUCACAAGCUGGGAUGUGGGCUUUCAUGUCCAGUUGUGCACUCUAUGUCAAGAAUUUGCCUCAGUCUGUCUGUUGCUCAAAUAAAAAAAUAACCCACACAAUGAAUUCACUUCAUUCUUUUAAAUACAUAUGCUUUAGCUUUGCAAUACUGCUUCAUUGUUUUUCAGCUAUAUAGUGUG
Ochotona curzoniae (black-lipped pika) is the source of this 1733-nucleotide long non-coding RNA. RefSeq lists it as uncharacterized. The transcript has 3 exons. NCBI's taxonomy places the organism in Eukaryota, Metazoa, Chordata, Mammalia, Lagomorpha, Ochotonidae. The record is from RefSeq and is a predicted model, not a curated record.